CGGCUCACCAAGGCGACGAUACAUAGCCGACCUGAGAGGGUGAUCGGCCACACUGGGACUGAGACACGGCCCAGACUCCUACGGGAGGCAGCAGUAGGGAAUCUUCGGCAAUGGACGGAAGUCUGACCGAGCAACGCCGCGUGAGUGAAGAAGGUUUUCGGAUCGUAAAGCUCUGUUGUAAGAGAAGAACGAGUGUGAGAGUGGAAAGUUCACACUGUGACGGUAUCUUACCAGAAAGGG
RNAcentral lists this ribosomal RNA (240 nucleotides) under Streptococcus periodonticum. Its description in RNAcentral is "partial 16S ribosomal RNA". It matches the Rfam family "Bacterial small subunit ribosomal RNA", at positions 261 to 492 of the family's 1533-position model. The record is from RNAcentral. Lineage: Bacteria; Bacillati; Bacillota; Bacilli; Lactobacillales; Streptococcaceae.